This 573-nucleotide non-coding RNA is filed under the name Cryptococcus deneoformans. Lineage: Eukaryota; Fungi; Basidiomycota; Tremellomycetes; Tremellales; Cryptococcaceae. The record is from RNAcentral.
GUAUGCAGUGCACAUAGGGACGAUGUAGCUGAAAGCCGAUUUGAUCUUGGGGAACAUAGUCAUGAAAACAGACAUGGUGUAGUUGGUGAGCUCGUGAUUAAGGACAACGGGACCGUGAGUAGUGUAAGUACCGUUACCAGCCUUGUCGAUGACUGCUUGGUAGUUAUCCGUCACAUCUUGCUCAGUGACGCCAUCGGUUCCAGCCGCCCAGUCAUCGGUGUCGUCUGACCAGAUGAUGGUGGUCAGGUUGAGUGCCUGGGCAAUCAUACGAACUCUGUUGUCGACAUCGCCGUACGGAGGUCGCCAGCACUGGGGAGUAACUCCAAGGACAGCCUUGAUGGCUUUCUGGGUGUAGUACAACUCGGCAAAGACAACCUCGUUACUGAGAGCGGUCAUGUACUGAUGAGACCAGGUGUGAACACAUAUUUGAUGGCCUUCGUCGUGAGCCCUCAUAGCCUGGAGAGGCCAGUCCAUGACAUUGGAUCCAAUGAAAAACAUGGUAGCCUUCUGGUUGUUCUCCGAAAGAAGAUUAUACAAAGCGUUGUGACUACAGUUAGGUCCAUCGUCGAAACC